UGGGGAAUUUUGCACAAUGGGGGAAACCCUGAUGCAGCGACGCCGCGUGAUUUAGAAGGCCUUCGGGUUGUAAAAAUCUUUUUUAUGGGAAGAAAAUGACAGUACCAUAGGAAUAAGGACCGGCUAAGUAUGUGCCAGCAGCCGCGGUAAUACGUAAGGUCCGAGCGUUGUCCGGAAUCAUUGGGCGUAAAGGGUACGAAGGCGGGUAAGCAAGUUAGAAGUGAAAUCCUAUAGCUCAACUAUAGUAAGCUUUUAAAACUGCUCAUCUUGAGGUAUGGAAGGGAAAGUGGAAUUCCUAGUGUAGCGGUGAAAUGCGCAGAUAUUAGGAGGAAUACCGGUGGCGAAGGCGACUUUCUGGCCAUAACCUGACGCUGAGGUACGAAAGCGUGGGUAGCAAACAGG
Molecule: ribosomal RNA, 402 nt
Filed under: bacterium
Lineage: Bacteria
Description: partial 16S ribosomal RNA
Rfam family: Bacterial small subunit ribosomal RNA
Source: RNAcentral